AUAAUUAGGUUACCUCUCAGGCUAAGGGGAGGAGAUGUGUGGGAUGUAACCAUUGUGUGAUUGGGUAUUGAAUAAUUGUCCGUGGGCGUCGCCCUUGCAUGGGAGAAUUGCAUAAAAGCAGAGUGUGUGUCAUUAAACCAGAGUUCUACUUCACCCUCAAUCUAGAGUCUUGUCGCUUAUUGGGGGAAUUGCUAUGCUCUG
Pelobates cultripes (western spadefoot toad) is the source of this 201-nucleotide non-coding RNA. The record is from the annotation of a GenBank genome assembly. NCBI's taxonomy places the organism in Eukaryota, Metazoa, Chordata, Amphibia, Anura, Pelobatidae.